UUCUCCACCAUCUCAUACACCUGCUUUCACAUGUCUUUAUUUUCCAUUUGACCAUGAACAUCACUGUUAUAUUCCAAAUUCUUACAGGGUUAGCCUCACCAAACCACGGGCAAUGACUGUGGUGUCUUCAUACUGAUGUAUGCACUCAACUUCAGCACAGAUGCUCUACUUUGGUUUACCGAGCGGGACAUAGCACAGAUCCGGAAAUGGUGGUGCAUUAUGCUCAUGGAACGGUACCAGAU
Long non-coding RNA from Gymnodraco acuticeps, 242 nucleotides. RefSeq lists it as uncharacterized. Lineage: Eukaryota; Metazoa; Chordata; Actinopteri; Perciformes; Bathydraconidae. The record is from RefSeq and is a predicted model, not a curated record. The transcript is spliced from 3 exons.